RNAcentral lists this ribosomal RNA (454 nucleotides) under Salmonella enterica subsp. enterica. RNAcentral describes it as "partial 23S ribosomal RNA". It matches the Rfam family "Bacterial large subunit ribosomal RNA", at positions 66 to 559 of the family's 2925-position model. Lineage: Bacteria; Pseudomonadati; Pseudomonadota; Gammaproteobacteria; Enterobacterales; Enterobacteriaceae. The record is from RNAcentral. RNAcentral also lists the same sequence under 2 other names.
CUGCGAUAAGCGCCGGUAAGGUGAUAUGAACCGUUAUAACCGGCGAUUUCCGAAUGGGGAAACCCAGUGUGACUCGUCACACUAUCAUUAACUGAAUCCAUAGGUUAAUGAGGCGAACCGGGGGAACUGAAACAUCUAAGUACCCCGAGGAAAAGAAAUCAACCGAGAUUCCCCCAGUAGCGGCGAGCGAACGGGGAGGAGCCCAGAGCCUGAAUCAGCAUGUGUGUUAGUGGAAGCGUCUGGAAAGGCGCGCGAUACAGGGUGACAGCCCCGUACACAAAAGCGCAUGUGCUGUGAGCUCGAUGAGUAGGGCGGGACACGUGGUAUCCUGUCUGAAUAUGGGGGGACCAUCCUCCAAGGCUAAAUACUCCUGACUGACCGAUAGUGAACCAGUACCGUGAGGGAAAGGCGAAAAGAACCCCGGCGAGGGGAGUGAAAAAGAACCUGAAACCGU